GGAGCGGUGUCCGAGUGGCUUAAGGUGCAGUCCUGGAAAGACUGUGUCGGUUAAUAGCCGACCGAGAGUUCGAAUCUCUCCCGCUCCGCCA
RNAcentral lists this transfer RNA (91 nucleotides) under Cyanobacteriota bacterium. Its description in RNAcentral is "Cyanobacteria bacterium (drinking water metagenome) tRNA-Ser". It matches the Rfam family "tRNA". Rfam says of the family: Transfer RNA (tRNA) molecules are approximately 80 nucleotides in length. Their secondary structure includes four short double-helical elements and three loops (D, anti-codon, and T loops). Further hydrogen bonds mediate the characteristic L-shaped molecular structure. tRNAs have two regions of fundamental functional importance: the anti-codon, which is responsible for specific mRNA codon recognition, and the 3' end, to which the tRNAs corresponding amino acid is attached (by aminoacyl-tRNA synthetases). tRNAs cope with the degeneracy of the genetic code in two manners: having more than one tRNA (with a specific anti-codon) for a particular amino acid; and 'wobble' base-pairing, i.e. permitting non-standard base-pairing at the 3rd anti-codon position. The record is from RNAcentral. Lineage: Bacteria; Bacillati; Cyanobacteriota.